RNAcentral lists this ribosomal RNA (292 nucleotides) under uncultured bacterium. Its description in RNAcentral is "partial 16S ribosomal RNA". It matches the Rfam family "Bacterial small subunit ribosomal RNA", at positions 505 to 796 of the family's 1533-position model. The record is from RNAcentral.
GUGCCAGCCGCCGCGGUAAUACGGAGGGUGCAAGCGUUAUCCGGAUUUAUUGGGUUUAAAGGGUCCGUAGGCGGAUGUGUAAGUCAGUGGUGAAAUCUCACAGCUUAACUGUGAAACUGCCAUUGAUACUGCAUGUCUUGAGUAAGGUAGAAGUGGCUGGAAUAAGUAGUGUAGCGGUGAAAUGCAUAGAUAUUACUUAGAACACCAAUUGCGAAGGCAGGUCACUAUGUCUUAACUGACGCUGAUGGACGAAAGCGUGGGGAGCGAACAGGAUUAGAAACCCCCGUAGUCC